GAUUCUGGCUCAGGAUGAACGCUGGCGGCGUGCCUAAUACAUGCAAGUCGAACGAGGUGGAUGGGAGCUUGCUCCUUGAUACCGAGUGGCGAACGGGUGAGUAACACGUAGGUAACCUGCCCUUAAGCUUGGGAUACCCAGAGGAAACUUUGGCUAAUACCGGAUAACAACAGAAGAGGCAUCUCUUCAGUUUGAAAGGCCCUUUACGGGGUCACUUAAGGAUGGACCUGCGGCGCAUUAGCUAGUUGGUGAGAUAAAAGCCCACCAAGGCGAGGAUGCGUAGCCGACCUGAGAGGGUGAUCGGCCACAUUGGAACUGAGACACGGUCCAAACUCCUACGGGAGGCAGCAGUAAGGAGUUUUCGGCAAUGGGGGAAACCCUGACCGAGCAACGCCGCGUGAGUGAUGACGGCCCUAUGGGUUGUAAAGCUCUGUUGUAAGGGACGAACUACCGUUUAGGAAAUGAAACGGUUCUGACGGUACCUUACCAGAAAGCCACGGCUAACUACGUGCCAGCAGCCGC
RNAcentral lists this ribosomal RNA (522 nucleotides) under uncultured bacterium. RNAcentral describes it as "bacterial SSU rRNA". It matches the Rfam family "Bacterial small subunit ribosomal RNA", at positions 15 to 518 of the family's 1533-position model. The record is from RNAcentral.